UACAUUGUUUUUAAAUUUCAAAUUGGGUUAGGCAAUUCCUUCAUUUUGUUCUAUUCCAUGCCUGAUGUGUUCGAGUUCUGUCAAUAGCAGAGGAAGACACACAACAAAGGCAGAGUCAGAGGCAGACCAACCAAGGGCAAUUUCUUCUUCCAGUCAGGUCUUCUUGUAGGGCGUGGUCGUGCCCUAACAGCUUAUUACCAACCAAGGGGAGGAAGCAACGGAAAGGGCAGUCGAUUCAUUAGUCGCAGUUCCAGUUCCUUCAAUUGAUUCUGAACCAACAGUUUUAGUUGUACCACCGCCAGUGUCGGAACAAGCAUAAGCACAAGAGGCUACCAGACUAUAUGUUGCAAACCCUAUCAAUAGAUUUGUGGAAUCAACAUUUGAAUUUGCACGCGUUUGUAGGAAGUUGGAUUUCCACAACUUUGUCUUCUGAAUGAAAGAAAGCAACCCUAUAAUCGUGGUCAGGCAUACCAUUUGCUUGUUGCAGAGAUGAAUGUCCCAGGAUGGGAUUAUCCAUUGCAUUUGGGAGUUACUGAAGCUGGUGAAGUUGAAGAUGGGCGAAUGAAAUCUGCAAUUGGCAUUGGAACACUGUUACAGGUUGGUUUGGGUGAUACAAUUCGGGUUUCCCUUACAAAACCUCAAGAAGAGGAGAUAAUAGAUCCAUGCGGAAGACUUGCAAAUCUUGGGAUGCAAGCUACCAAGCUUGAGAAAGGAGUGGCUCCUUUUGAGGAGAAGCACCACCACUAUUUUAAUUUCCAACGGAGAACCAGCCAACUUCCCAUUCAGAAGUAGGGUGACAGAUUGCAAGCUCACAACCCUUCUUGUUCCAGCCAAAAAAAUGCAGUUUAAUAAGAAGUAUACUAAGCAGCUUUUUGAACUAGUUCAUGGUGUAUUCAAAACAACAAGAGAUAGAAUUAGGCUUGCAUCAUUUCUUUAGUUAUAUUUUGGUCAAGCAUAUUGACUUGAUAGCAUUGUAACAUGUACAAAUAUAGUGUUUAAUAAAAAAAUUAUUGGAAGGUUAUAACCCCUUCUAAAGAUUGAAAGGAAUAGUCACUGUCCA
Cryptomeria japonica (Japanese cedar) is the source of this 1060-nucleotide RNA transcript. It is a transcript of the gene named 4-hydroxy-3-methylbut-2-en-1-yl diphosphate synthase (ferredoxin), chloroplastic, with no coding region annotated. The transcript has 7 exons. Lineage: Eukaryota; Viridiplantae; Streptophyta; Pinopsida; Cupressales; Cupressaceae. The record is from RefSeq and is a predicted model, not a curated record.